GCGAGUAUCGUAUAGUGGCUAUUAUGAUGCCUUGCCAAGGCAUAGACACGGGUUCAAUUCCCGUUACUCGCUCCA
This 75-nucleotide transfer RNA is filed under the name Candidatus Peregrinibacteria bacterium CG10_big_fil_rev_8_21_14_0_10_36_19. RNAcentral's name for it is "tRNA-Gly". It matches the Rfam family "tRNA". Rfam says of the family: Transfer RNA (tRNA) molecules are approximately 80 nucleotides in length. Their secondary structure includes four short double-helical elements and three loops (D, anti-codon, and T loops). Lineage: Bacteria; Candidatus Peregrinibacteriota. The record is from RNAcentral.